RNAcentral lists this ribosomal RNA (467 nucleotides) under uncultured bacterium. RNAcentral describes it as "partial 16S ribosomal RNA". It matches the Rfam family "Bacterial small subunit ribosomal RNA", at positions 29 to 507 of the family's 1533-position model. The record is from RNAcentral.
ACGAACGCUGGAGGCGUGCUUAACACAUGCAAGUCGCACGGAAAGGCCCUGCUUUUGUGGGGUGCUCGAGUGGCGAACGGGUGAGUAACACGUGAGUAACCUGCCCUUGACUUUGGGAUAACUUCAGGAAACUGGGGCUAAUACCGGAUAGGAGCUCCUGCUGCAUGGUGGGGGUUGGAAAGUUUCGGCGGUUGGGGAUGGACUCGCGGCUUAUCAGCUUGUUGGUGGGGUAGUGGCUUACCAAGGCUUUGACGGGUAGCCGGCCUGAGAGGGUGACCGGCCACAUUGGGACUGAGAUACGGCCCAGACUCCUACGGGAGGCAGCAGUGGGGAAUAUUGCACAAUGGGCGGAAGCCUGAUGCAGCAACGCCGCGUGCGGGAUGACGGCCUUCGGGCUGUAAACCGCUUUCGCCUGUGACGAAGCGUGAGUGACGGUAAUGGGUAAAGAAGCACCGGCUAACUACGUG